UACGUAGGGGGCUAGCGUUGUCCGGAUUUAUUGGGCGUAAAGAGCUCGUAGGCGGUUCAGUAAGUCGGGUGUGAAAACUCUGGGCUUAACCCAGAGCCGCCAUCCGAUACUGCUGAACUUGAGUACGGUAGGGGAGUGGGGAAUUCCUGGUGUAGCGGUGAAAUGCGCAGAUAUCAGGAGGAACACCGGUGGCGAAGGCGCCACUCUGGGCCGAAACUGACGCUGAGGAGCGAAAGCGUGGGUAGCAAACAGG
RNAcentral lists this ribosomal RNA (253 nucleotides) under uncultured bacterium. Its description in RNAcentral is "partial 16S ribosomal RNA". It matches the Rfam family "Bacterial small subunit ribosomal RNA", at positions 524 to 776 of the family's 1533-position model. The record is from RNAcentral.